Erigeron canadensis is the source of this 1159-nucleotide long non-coding RNA. RefSeq lists it as uncharacterized. The transcript has 4 exons. The record is from RefSeq and is a predicted model, not a curated record. NCBI's taxonomy places the organism in Eukaryota, Viridiplantae, Streptophyta, Magnoliopsida, Asterales, Asteraceae.
CAUCUCCAUCGCAUACUUGAAAGCCUUCAACAAAAUAUUCCCCAAACCCGCCACCAUCACCGCAUAAUAGCAGCCGUCAUGAUACUCCGACGCCGCCAACAUCUUCUCCAUCACUAGCAUCAAUGAACACCCCCUCCUUUAUCCAUCAAUGAACACCCUUAUCUAAUCCGCCAUUAGUAAGAGCCACCACCACCAAACAUGAUUUUUUUAUAUUUAUAUUCUUAAAUCAAUAUUUUUUGCAGUUUCUUCGAUUGGGGUGGAUAUAGAAGGAAAACACGGCUUAAUAAUGCAGGGUAAUCUUCUCAUCGCAAUAGUUUGGGAAAAGUUGUUUUACAACCAAUUAUUGUGGUUUUAAUGUCGACUAGAAGACUAACAGAGGGCCUAAUCACAUGUACAAAGAAGGAGGGCAUAACUAAGCUCCAUUGUCAAAAUGUUGAUGCGUAUGUUGUUGGCUACAUGUUGCACAACAUUCAAUUCUUUAUAUCUUGCAUUUGCCAAUGACCACUAGAUAAUUAAAAUAUAUGUUUGAUCACCUUGUUCUCUUUGAUUGAAUGUCAUUGAUGGAUAGCCUCUUGGUUCUUAUCAAAAUGUCCCUAAUUUCUUAGUUGAACCUCCACUUGAAUUUUAUGGAUACAUAAGGUUUUCAGAUUCAUGUUUAGCAAGAGGAAUGAAACGGAUGUUAACUUUUUGCGAUCUGAAGACAUCGUUUCUUUUUCUCGAAUAUUUAUGGGUUGAUAUUGCUCCAACAUUUUCUCUUCCUUUAGGUGUACCUAUUCUGCAAAAUAAUGUUGGCUACCUGAUUAAUGACCUCUUUCAUCGACUAGAAAGAUCACUAUUUACCAAGGGCAUAGGAGUUGCUGAGGUUACUUGAAGAUGGUCAGUCCAUGGAUUUUGGAGUCACUUGGCAAUAUAGUAGGAUUCUUAAUAAGGUUAUGUGGGAGAUCUGAUAACAAGAAACUUCCUAGCAUCAUUGGGGUAUGCUGUUUGCUUCAUAAAAUAAUUAUAAUUAUAGAUUACGGUAGUCCAAAUGUUAAUUAUUUUGUGUAUUUAUGAAACAUUUUUGCAAGUUGAACAUUAUUGUUUAUGGUUUAAUGAUACUAUGCUUUUCCUUUAGUUGUAACCUAAGUUGUUAACAAAUUCAAGUGUUCGGAUUUAUUUA